RNAcentral lists this ribosomal RNA (769 nucleotides) under Corallococcus exiguus. RNAcentral describes it as "bacterial SSU rRNA". It matches the Rfam family "Bacterial small subunit ribosomal RNA", at positions 1 to 758 of the family's 1533-position model. Lineage: Bacteria; Pseudomonadati; Myxococcota; Myxococcia; Myxococcales; Myxococcaceae. The record is from RNAcentral.
UAGAGUUUUAUCAUGGCUCAGAACGAACGCUGGCGGCGUGCCUAACACAUGCAAGUCGAGCGCGAAUGGGGCAACCCUAGUAGAGCGGCGCACGGGUGCGUAACACGUGGAUAAUCUGCCUGGAUGCCUGGGAUAACCAGUCGAAAGAUUGGCUAAUACCGGAUAAGCCCACGGUCUCUUCGGAGGCUGAGGGAAAAGGUGGCCUCUGUAUACAAGCUAUCACAACCAGAUGAGUCCGCGGCCCAUCAGCUAGUUGGCGGGGUAAUGGCCCACCAAGGCAACGACGGGUAGCUGGUCUGAGAGGACGAUCAGCCACACUGGAACUGAGACACGGUCCAGACUCCUACGGGAGGCAGCAGUGGGGAAUUUUGCGCAAUGGGCGAAAGCCUGACGCAGCAACGCCGCGUGUGUGAUGAAGGUCUUUGGAUUGUAAAGCACUUUCGACCGGGACGAAAACCCGAAGCCCAAUACGCUUCGGCUUGACGGUACCGGGAGAAGAAGCACCGGCUAACUCUGUGCCAGCAGCCGCGGUAAUACAGAGGGUGCAAGCGUUGUUCGGAAUUAUUGGGCGUAAAGCGCGCGUAGGCGGCUUUGCAAGUCGGGUGUGAAAGCCCUCAGCUCAACUGAGGAAGUGCGCCCGAAACUGCAGAGCUUGAGUGCCGGAGAGGGUGGCGGAAUUCCCCAAGUAGAGGUGAAAUUCGUAGAUAUGGGGAGGAACACCGGUGGCGAAGGCGGCCACCUGGACGGUCACUGACGCUGAGGCGCGAAA